Molecule: ribosomal RNA, 365 nt
Filed under: uncultured fungus
Lineage: Eukaryota; Fungi
Description: SSU rRNA
Rfam family: Eukaryotic small subunit ribosomal RNA
Source: RNAcentral
CGGGUAACGGGGAAUUAGGGUUCUAUUCCGGAGAGGGAGCUGAGAAACGGUACCACAUCCAAGGAAGGCAGCAGGCGCGCAAAUUACCCAAUCCCAAUAUGGGGAGGUAGUGACAAUAAAUAUUAAUACUGGGGGCUCUUUUGGGUCUCGAUAAUUGAGAAUGAGUACAAUCUAAAUCCCCUUAACGAGGAACAAUUGGAGGGCAGUCUGGUGCCAGCAGCCGCGGUAAUUCCAGCUCCAAUAGCGUAUAUUAACAGUUGUUGCCGUUAAAAAGCUCGUAGUUGAACUUUGGGGUCUGGCUGAUCUGUCCUCCUAAUCGGAGCGCACGGAUUCGGGUCGGGGCUAUCCUUCUGGGGAGCCCUAUG